UUGAUCAUGGCUCAGAGUGAACGCUGGCGGUAGGCCUAACACAUGCAAGUCGAACGGCAGCACAGGAGAGCUUGCUCUCUGGGUGGCGAGUGGCGGACGGGUGAGGAAUACAUCGGAAUCUACCUUUUCGUGGGGGAUAACGUAGGGAAACUUACGCUAAUACCGCAUACGACCUACGGGUGAAAGUGGGGGACCGCAAGGCCUCACGCGAUUAGAUGAGCCGAUGUCCGAUUAGCUAGUUGGCGGGGUAAUGGCCCACCAAGGCGACGAUCGGUAGCUGGUCUGAGAGGAUGAUCAGCCACACUGGAACUGAGACACGGUCCAGACUCCUACGGGAGGCAGCAGUGGGGAAUAUUGGACAAUGGGCGCAAGCCUGAUCCAGCCAUACCGCGUGGGUGAAGAAGGCCUUCGGGUUGUAAAGCCCUUUUGUUGGGAAAGAAAUCCUAUCGGUUAAUAACCGGUGGGGAUGACGGUACCCAAAGAAUAAGCACCGGCUAACUUCGUGCCAGCAGCCGCGGUAAUACGAAGGGUGCAAGCGUUACUCGGAAUUACUGGGCGUAAAGCGUGCGUAGGUGGUGGUUUAAGUCUGCUGUGAAAGCCCUGGGCUCAACCUGGGAAUUGCAGUGGAUACUGGAUUACUAGAGUGUGGUAGAGGGAUGCGGAAUUUCUGGUGUAGCAGUGAAAUGCGUAGAGAUCAGAAGGAACAUCCGUGGCGAAGGCGGCAUCCUGGGCCAACACUGACACUGAGGCACGAAAGCGUGGGGAGCAAACAGGAUUAGAUAC
RNAcentral lists this ribosomal RNA (783 nucleotides) under uncultured bacterium. RNAcentral describes it as "bacterial SSU rRNA". It matches the Rfam family "Bacterial small subunit ribosomal RNA", at positions 13 to 785 of the family's 1533-position model. The record is from RNAcentral.